UUGAAGUUGCAUUUCAAAAAAUUUCUA
RNAcentral lists this non-coding RNA (27 nucleotides) under Mus musculus (house mouse). Lineage: Eukaryota; Metazoa; Chordata; Mammalia; Rodentia; Muridae. The record is from RNAcentral.